RNAcentral lists this ribosomal RNA (253 nucleotides) under uncultured bacterium. RNAcentral's name for it is "partial 16S ribosomal RNA". It matches the Rfam family "Bacterial small subunit ribosomal RNA", at positions 524 to 776 of the family's 1533-position model. The record is from RNAcentral.
UACGAAGGGGGCUAGCGUUGCUCGGAAUCACUGGGCGUAAAGGGUGCGUAGGCGGGUCUUUAAGUCAGGGGUGAAAUCCUGGAGCUCAACUCCAGAACUGCCUUUGAUACUGAAGAUCUUGAGUUCGGGAGAGGUGAGUGGAACUGCGAGUGUAGAGGUGAAAUGCGUAGAGAUCCGGAGGAACCCCAGAGGCGAAGGCGGCGCCCUGGCUCGCAACUGACGCUCAGACACGACAGCAUGGGGAGCGAACGGG